This 396-nucleotide ribosomal RNA is filed under the name uncultured bacterium. RNAcentral describes it as "partial 16S ribosomal RNA". It matches the Rfam family "Bacterial small subunit ribosomal RNA", at positions 523 to 918 of the family's 1533-position model. The record is from RNAcentral.
AUACGUAGGGGGCGAGCGUUGUCCGGAAUUACUGGGUGUAAAGGGAGCGUAGGCGGGAGUGCAAGUCAGAUGUGAAAUGCAUGGGCUUAACCCAUGAGCUGCAUUUGAAACUGCAUUUCUUGAGUGAAGUAGAGGUAAGCGGAAUUCCUGGUGUAGCGGUGAAAUGCGUAGAGAUUGGGAGGAACACCAGUGGCGAAGGCGAUUACCGGGGCGGUACCGGAGGUGAAGGGGGAAAGCGUUGGGAAGGGACCGGAAUUGAUUCCCCUGUAAGUCCACGGGUUAACGAAGGAUGCCUAGUUGAGGGGGUUUUGGACCCUUCUGUUGCGGGGUUAAAGCAAAUAAGAUUCCGCCCGGGGAAUUAGGCCGGCAAGUUUAAACUCAAAUGAAUUGACGGGG